This 710-nucleotide long non-coding RNA is filed under the name Brassica napus (rape). Its description in RNAcentral is "long non-coding RNA (BNAP_LNC013987)". The record is from RNAcentral. Lineage: Eukaryota; Viridiplantae; Streptophyta; Magnoliopsida; Brassicales; Brassicaceae.
CCUUUAAGCUUAACACAUGUGAAACCUACUUCUUAGGCUUGUAUCCCUUGCUCCUGUAGACCUCAGUAUGUAGGGGAAGAACCACUGCAUGGACGUUUUCGUGCCUGACAAUUUCCCAUUAGUCUUCUCCUCCCUUAACCAAACCGCAAAAAUGGCCCAUUUUGACACUUUCGGGUCUUUAAUCCUCUAAUCUGUUUUCCUUGUGCUCCAGCCCAAUCCAAUACUUCCCCUGAGUCCUAAAUAAAGCUUAGAUGUCGUGGGUUUCAUGUAGAAAAGCCUUUCUUCAGCCCAUAGCUCCGAUUACAAAUCGUAGUCCAUUUCGGUAACAAAUGGUAUCUCCAUGUCUUCUUGCUCUCUAAAUGUCUUUUGCCCCUGAUUUCUUCACCAUAAAAUCCCUUGAUUUAUUCCACAUCAUUUCCAGGAUUGAAAGAAGUUGGUCCCCUCCACGUGGCAUGCUCCUAUUGGUUGCUCGGAUGGGUUAUAUGGACCAAUGGGGUUCUUUCUCUCUCCUUUGACUUUAGUUGACUUUGACAUCUGAGUUGACCAUUUCCAAAAGUUGAGGAAAUGUGUAAAACAUUCCUUUGAACUCCUUUCCCAUGUUUGCACAACUCCUUUUGGCUUUCUUUGCCCUCAACUAGCUUGUUUCGACCAUAUAGGCCAAAACCGUCUUCCUCCAGACCAUCUUGGUCUUCCUCCGGACCAUCUUGGUN